Molecule: non-coding RNA, 453 nt
Organism: Penaeus vannamei (Pacific white shrimp)
Lineage: Eukaryota; Metazoa; Arthropoda; Malacostraca; Decapoda; Penaeidae
Source: RefSeq, a predicted model, not a curated record
CUUGCCUACAAAUCGUUCAGUCGGUCUGUGUCCGUUGUUGAGAGGGAACGAGUGUCGAUAUUUUUACUUAUAUAUAAAGCCGGCUAAUUGGUUUCCGAUGCAAGAUAAAGGUACUGUUUUAAAAGAAUUAGCAACAUAUUUGUGACGUCGUGACAAAGAUGUGACAGAACAACGUGGGCGCAACGUUAAAAGGUGUGGCAUGCAUGCCCAGAGACAGACUGAGCUGGAGUCCUGCAACCUCACGAUAGCGGCUGGACUUUGCAGAACGUGAACUCUGCAUCAUUGAACGUCUAAAACUUAAUGUUACUUGGAACUGACUGAAAAGGAGAAAGGAGUGAAUAAGAAAAGAAGUGAAGUGAACAUACAUUGGGUGUGUGAACGGAAGGAAUUUCUUUUAUUUUCUAUGUUUUAUUUACAAUUCUUGCAAGUAUCGAAAAUACAUGGUUAAAGGUU